Mus caroli (Ryukyu mouse) is the source of this 1211-nucleotide non-coding RNA. The record is from RefSeq and is a predicted model, not a curated record. NCBI's taxonomy places the organism in Eukaryota, Metazoa, Chordata, Mammalia, Rodentia, Muridae.
CUCUCUCUCUCUCUCUGUCUUUCUCCAUGGGUUCUGGUUUUAUCAGUGAUCUAAGUCUCACACAUAGAAACCUUGUUAGAUGGGGGGUUAGCUGUAUGAACCUGCUGCUGUCGAGGGACCUACAGUGUUGAGACAAAAGGGAAAGUCUUGCAGACCAGGGUGGUCUGGAACUUGUGGCAAUCCUGUCUUCUGUUUCCUGAAGGCAGGAAUUAUAGGUGCGCAACCACACAGCUGGCACUAUUUACUACUUUAAGAGGUUUGGGAGAGGACCCUAAGAAAGCAGAUACCUACCUACAAGACAAAGGGAGAAGACCAGAAAAACAAUAAGAAACAACAACGAAAGCCUGGAAAUAGCUUGAUUUCAGAAACCCUGCACUCAGAACUGUGUGAACAAAUCUCUGCUGCUUAAGCCACCCGCUUACAGCACUCUCAGUAGCCAAACGCAAUCUUGCCAGUCUGAGAAACAAAAGAAAUUUCUAUAAGGAUGAUAUAAGAUUAUGAAGAGAGGCUCCCACAGCAGGAACCAGCAGACAGAACCAGUAAACGGUUCCUGAAAUGGUUACGAUAAAUAACUGGAAGAAGCAGGAGUGCUAACCUGGAUGUGAGAAGAAGCCAAGUAGAAGUUCACAAAUGAAGAUUCUGUGCCUUUGUAUGUAAAGCCAUGGUAAAGUAGAUGUUAGAGGAAACAGGAGGAUGAACUAGAAGUUCCAGUAGCAUAAUGAAGGCUGUGUGGAGAUUUAUGAUAGAAGAGAUGGCAUCGUGGUUCAGCAGAGAUGGAAAUUUUAUCAAACACCACUGUGCAAAUGGUUGUCAGUGGAAGACAGAAAAUGUGAUCCUCACUUUACAUGAACACAAAACCCAAGACAGAACAAAACCAUAAAAGGGACAAACAAAACUUCAACCUUUUAGGGGAAAUGGUAGGAAGCUAUUGUGCCAGGAUGCUAAGGAAGUCUUUAUGGAAUCAGAGAGGAUUGCUAGGAAAAGGGUCAUUGCGUUACCUCAUGCAGAGCAGUGGAGCUGAACAUGCACCUUAUAGCAGGUAAAACUAAUCUCCGUGGUACAGGCUCAGAUAUGUACUGAAAGUAUAGCACUUUCAUUUUUACGUAGUUUUAGGCUAGCUGGCCAAAUCUUAGGUUUCAUUUUGACAUUUUCAUUCAUGGGCAUCACAUUGUCUGCUUCCUCCCACAUGUCCUACUAUAUAUUGAACAUCG